Molecule: ribosomal RNA, 484 nt
Filed under: uncultured bacterium
Lineage: Bacteria
Description: partial 16S ribosomal RNA
Rfam family: Bacterial small subunit ribosomal RNA
Source: RNAcentral
AUUGAACGCUGGCGGCAGGCCUAACACAUGCAAGUCGAGCGGAUGAAGGGAGCUUGCUCCUGGAUUCAGCGGCGGACGGGUGAGUAAUGCCUAGGAAUCUGCCUGGUAGCGGGGGAUAACGUCCGGAAACGGGCGCUAAUACCGCAUACGUCCUGAGGGAGAAAGUGGGGGAUCUUCGGACCUCACGCUAUCAGAUGAGCCUAGGUCGGAUUAGCUAGUUGGUGGGGUAAAGGCCUACCAAGGCGACGAUCCGUAACUGGUCUGAGAGGAUGAUCAGUCACACUGGAACUGGGACACGGUCCAGACUCCUACGGGAGGCAGCAGUGGGGAAUAUUGGACAAUGGGCGAAAGCCUGAUCCAGCCAUGCCGCGUGUGUGAAGAAGGUCUUCGGAUUGUAAAGCACUUUAAGUUGGGAGGAAGGGCAGUAAGUUAAUACCUUGCUGUUUUGACGUUACCAACAGGAUGAGCACCGGCUAACUUCGUG